This 255-nucleotide ribosomal RNA is filed under the name uncultured bacterium. Its description in RNAcentral is "partial 16S ribosomal RNA". It matches the Rfam family "Bacterial small subunit ribosomal RNA", at positions 524 to 776 of the family's 1533-position model. The record is from RNAcentral.
UACGUAAAGUGCAAGCGUUAAUCGGAAUUACUGGGCGUAAAGCGUGCGCAGGCGGUUUUGUAAGUCAGAUGUGAAAUCCCCGGGCUUAACCUGGGAACUGCGUUUGAAACUACAAGGCUAGAGUGUGGCAGAGGAGGAUGGAAUUCCACGUAUAGCAGUGAAAUGCGUAGAGAUGUAGAGGAACACCAAUAGCGAAGGCAGCCCCCCUGGGUUAACACUGACGCUCAGGCACGAAAAGCGUAGGGAGCGAACAGG